Molecule: ribosomal RNA, 501 nt
Filed under: uncultured bacterium
Lineage: Bacteria
Description: partial 16S ribosomal RNA
Rfam family: Bacterial small subunit ribosomal RNA
Source: RNAcentral
AUUGAACGCUGGCGGCAUGCCUUACACAUGCAAGUCGAACGGCAGCACGGGAGCUUGCUCCUGGUGGCGAGUGGCGAACGGGUGAGUAAUACAUCGGAACGUACCCAGUAGUGGGGGAUAACGCACCGAAAGGUGCGCUAAUACCGCAUACGACCCAAGGGUGAAAGCGGGGGACCGUAAGGCCUCGCGCUAUUGGAGCGGCCGAUGUCUGAUUAGCUAGUUGGUGAGGUAAAGGCUCACCAAGGCUUCGAUCAGUAGCUGGUCUGAGAGGACGAUCAGCCACACUGGGACUGAGACACGGCCCAGACUCCUACGGAGGCAGCAGUGGGGAAUUUUGGACAAUGGGCGAAAGCCUGAUCCAGCAAUGCCGCGUGUGCGAAGAAGGCCUUCGGGUUGUAAAGCACUUUUGUCAGGGAAGAAAUCUUUUAGGCUAAUACCUUGGAAGGAUGACGGUACCUGAAGAAUAAGCACCGGCUAACUACGUGCCAGCCGCCGCCGUAA